GAAACCUUCUGCAGCUGCAGAGGCAAUUUGGAGGGAUUAAAAAUUUAUCCUGUUUUGAGCAGAGCUUUCCGCAGGUGCUAGAAUCCACUUAAUCACAGCUACAACAUAACUGAGCAGUUUUUAUAUGCCACCCAUCCCUGGUCUAUCCCUUCACCAGCUCCAUGCCAGGAGGAGAUACGUUAAGCUGGAGGGUCCAGAAGGUGGUGCAGUCGCAUGGCUCUCAGCGUGGUAGUCAAAAACACCUUCCCAUCUGAGAAGUAAACGGGAAUCCUGAAAUGGCUCUUUACAUCCCUAGUGUGAUCAGGUUCACCUUUCCCUGCCUAAAGCUAUGUCUAGACUGCUGAGUUCAUGAUGAAUGGCUAUUUCCAUAUGCCACAACAAUGAGAUUUGGGUAUCCUCUGGAUCUACGUGGUGCCCCUUUGAUCUCUGGUUUUUUGAACAGCAAAACCCGACCUUAUUAUAGUCACUGCCUGAGACAACACUACUUCUGAUGGCCAGCAUAUGGGGAAGAGGCCAGAAUGCAGUCUGGCUGCAGGCACCUAAGUCCUCUGCAAACAGGCCCUCCCAGCAGUGGUCCCAGGAGGCAGAGCUCUUGUAGAAGAGGUAGGAAUGACAGACCAGCAAAUUGCAGACUUUUACA
Long non-coding RNA from Cygnus olor (mute swan), 640 nucleotides. RefSeq lists it as uncharacterized. The transcript is spliced from 5 exons. Lineage: Eukaryota; Metazoa; Chordata; Aves; Anseriformes; Anatidae. The record is from RefSeq and is a predicted model, not a curated record.